Molecule: ribosomal RNA, 483 nt
Filed under: uncultured bacterium
Lineage: Bacteria
Description: bacterial SSU rRNA
Rfam family: Bacterial small subunit ribosomal RNA
Source: RNAcentral
AACGAACGCUGGCGGCAUGCCUAACACAUGCAAGUCGAACGGGAUCCUGGUUUCGGCCAGGUGAGAGUGGCGGACGGGUGAGUAACGCGUGGGAACCUGCCCAGUGGUGGGGGAUAACUGCGGGAAACUGCAGCUAAUACCGCAUGAGCCCGCAAGGGGAAAGAUUGAUCGCCAUUGGAGGGGCCCGCGUUCGAUUAGGUAGUUGGUGAGGUAACGGCUCACCAAGCCUACGAUCGAUAGCUGGUCUGAGAGGAUGAUCAGCCACACUGGGACUGAGAUACGGCCCAGACUCCUACGGGAGGCAGCAGUGGGGAAUAUUGGACAAUGGGCGAAAGCCUGAUCCAGCGACGCCGCGUGGGUGAAGAAGGCCUGCGGGUUGUAAAGCCCUUUCAGUGGGGAAGAAAAGCCUCGACCUAACACGUCGGGUCUUGACGUAACCCAUAGAAGAAGCACCGGCUAACUCUGUGCCAGCCGCCGCUGUAA